AGAGCUGCCUUCCUUUUCUGUUUCAUCUACUUGCCUCUUUCAGUGCCUGGGACUCCCGACCCUCCAGCCCACUCACAGGAAGACGCCAAAUCAUUUUUACAAAUGAUUUUAAAUAAACAGCGUUCGGCUGCAGGCCCUGCUUUCGAUAGCCACAGUGCCUGUUCCCUGGGAAAUCCUCUCUCUCCUCUGAAUGCAGAAAUGGUAGCUGUCAGCAUGGACACGUGCACGCAUGCACACAUGCACAUUCUCCUUUUGGAUUCAUGUCACUCGUUACAUUUUGUGGACUAUAGGCUUUCAGUAUGCUACAUGCUUUCAUAUUAUUUAACCAUCCUCUUAUAAGUGUUAUGCAUGGAAAACAGAUUAAUAAAGAAAAAUUGUUAACA
RNAcentral lists this long non-coding RNA (383 nucleotides) under Homo sapiens (human). RNAcentral describes it as "non-protein coding lnc-NYAP2-8:1". The record is from RNAcentral. Lineage: Eukaryota; Metazoa; Chordata; Mammalia; Primates; Hominidae.